This 270-nucleotide ribosomal RNA is filed under the name uncultured archaeon. Its description in RNAcentral is "partial 16S ribosomal RNA". It matches the Rfam family "Archaeal small subunit ribosomal RNA", at positions 477 to 747 of the family's 1478-position model. The record is from RNAcentral.
CAGCCCCUCGAGUGGUGGGGAUGAUUAUUUGGCCUAAAGCGUCCGUAGCCGGCCGAGCAAGUCUUCCGUUAAAUCCAGCGUCUCAAGCGUUGGACCGCGGGAGAUACUACACGGCUAGAGAGUGGGAGAGGUCAGCGGUAUUCUGGGGGUAGGGGCGAAAUCCUUUGAUCCCCGGAGGACCACCAGUGGCGAAGGCUGCUGACUAGAACACGUCUGACGGUCAGGGACGAAAGCUGGGGUAGCGAACCGGAUUAGAUACCCGAGUAGUCC